AUGAACGCUAGCGGCAGGCCUAAUACAUGCAAGUCGAACGAGAUUAGAGAGCUUGCUCUCUAUGAAAGUGGCGCACGGGUGCGUAACGCGUAUGCAAUCUACCUUAAUCAGGGGGAUAGCCCGGAGAAAUCCGGAUUAAUACCGCAUAACGUUAUUUUAUGGCAUCAUAGAAUAACCAAACAUUUAUGGGAUUAAGAUGAGCAUGCGUGACAUUAGUUAGUUGGUGAGGUAACGGCUCACCAAGACUACGAUGUCUAGGGGAUCUGAGAGGAUGACCCCCCACACUGGUACUGAGACACGGACCAGACUCCUACGGGAGGCAGCAGUAAGGAAUAUUGGUCAAUGGGCGCAAGCCUGAACCAGCCAUGCCGCGUGCAGGAAGACGGCCCUACGGGUUGUAAACUGCUUUUAUUCGGGAAUAAACCCUUCUACGUGUAGGAGGCUGAAUGUACCGAAGGAAUAAGGAUCGGCUAACUCCGU
RNAcentral lists this ribosomal RNA (480 nucleotides) under uncultured bacterium. Its description in RNAcentral is "bacterial SSU rRNA". It matches the Rfam family "Bacterial small subunit ribosomal RNA", at positions 29 to 506 of the family's 1533-position model. The record is from RNAcentral.